UACGGAGGGUGCAAGCGUUGUUCGGAAUCACUGGGCGUAAAGGGCGUGUAGGCGGUCCGCUAAGUCUGAUGUGAAAGCCCGAGGCUUACCCUCGGAAGUGCAUUGGAGACUGGCGAACUAGAGUCCCGGAGAGGAGGGUGGAAUUCCUGGUGUAGCGGUGAAAUGCGUAGAUAUCAGGAGGAACACCGGUGGCGAAGGCGGCCCUCUGGACGGUGACUGACGCUGAGACGCGAAAGCGUGGGGAGCAAACAGG
Molecule: ribosomal RNA, 253 nt
Filed under: uncultured bacterium
Lineage: Bacteria
Description: partial 16S ribosomal RNA
Rfam family: Bacterial small subunit ribosomal RNA
Source: RNAcentral